This 917-nucleotide long non-coding RNA is filed under the name Nicotiana benthamiana. RNAcentral's name for it is "long non-coding RNA (NBEN_LNC037167)". Lineage: Eukaryota; Viridiplantae; Streptophyta; Magnoliopsida; Solanales; Solanaceae. The record is from RNAcentral.
CAGGAGUAAAAGGUGGGAGUUUAAAAGCAGGGGGGUUUGGAAGGAGAUUUCCAAGCUUCCUUUGAAUGUCAUCCCAUUGUGUUGAAGCUCCUUCUACAUCCUUGUACACGAAAUGGUAAUCCCCAAUUUUAUUAAACCUUCUUCUCUCUCACACAAACACACAGAGGUGUGCAGUUAAUACUAGGAGAAUACUACGUUUCGCGGAGUUUCUCAAAUCUUCUGUUAUUACUUUGUCCGGGAAAACUGAGGCGAGUGCUUCUGUUUAGAGAAAAUAGCACUCAGUCACCCCCCCCCCCCCCCCCNNNNNNNNNNCGCUCUUCCGAUCUUUCCUAGAAUAGCCUUUGAAGAUUUCAUGACUGAGUAUGAUGUUUCCCCUCCCCUUUUUUUGGUUAAAACAUUUCUUUCCAAUUGAUAUCCCAAAAAAUAUUUAUAGUUGGAGAUUCAGUAAGAGAUUGGACUACUCCUACUCAUUUACAUCAUUCUUCUUACUAAAUUCUAAUUUGCUCUAAGUACAUUAUAGUAUAGGAUUUCCUAGUAACUAGAGGCUAAGGAUUUUUGUUGAGCUUGGCCAGUCCAGCUUGCCAUUUCCUGCAGUUUCUGCCUCGGAUGUGAAUUGAUAAGGCUAUUUCUCUGCACAGUAGAGAUGCAUCAAAAGUUGUCCUAUUAAAUCUGAUAUUGUUUCUUUCUUUCCAGAUAAGAGCCACAGUAUUUAUGAAGGCACAUGCUGUGAUAUUAUUAAGUGCCACUCUGCUCUUGGCCUUGCUGCACACCCACAUCAUUUCUGUUUCCCAGUUUUCCACAGUCCUAUGGUGACCCAGCCAGGAGCACAUUCUGUUCCACAAGUUCUUAGUGACUGGGCAGUCAAAGAACAGAUGGCUAAAUGUCUCACUGCUAUGAUCACAAAAUACACAAUUUCC